AACGAACGCUGGCGGCAUGCCUAACACAUGCAAGUCGAACGAGACCUUCGGGUCUAGUGGCGCACGGGUGCGUAACGCGUGGGAACCUGCCCUUAGGUUCGGAAUAACUCCCCGAAAGGGGUGCUAAUACCGGAUAAUGUCUUCGGACCAAAGAUUUAUCGCCUUUGGAUGGGCCCGCGUUGGAUUAGCUAGUUGGUAGGGUAAAAGCCUACCAAGGCGACGAUCCAUAGCUGGUCUGAGAGGAUGAUCAGCCACACUGGGACUGAGACACGGCCCAGACUCCUACGGGAGGCAGCAGUGGGGAAUAUUGGACAAUGGGCGAAAGCCUGAUCCAGCAAGGCCGCGUGAGUGAUGAAGGCCUUAGGGUUGUAAAGCUCUUUUACCCGGGAUGAUAAUGACAGUACCGGAGAAUAAGCUCCGGCUAACUCCGUG
RNAcentral lists this ribosomal RNA (432 nucleotides) under uncultured bacterium. RNAcentral describes it as "partial 16S ribosomal RNA". It matches the Rfam family "Bacterial small subunit ribosomal RNA", at positions 29 to 507 of the family's 1533-position model. The record is from RNAcentral.